This 77-nucleotide transfer RNA is filed under the name Candidatus Omnitrophota bacterium. RNAcentral's name for it is "tRNA-His". It matches the Rfam family "tRNA". From Rfam's summary of the family: Transfer RNA (tRNA) molecules are approximately 80 nucleotides in length. Their secondary structure includes four short double-helical elements and three loops (D, anti-codon, and T loops). Further hydrogen bonds mediate the characteristic L-shaped molecular structure. tRNAs have two regions of fundamental functional importance: the anti-codon, which is responsible for specific mRNA codon recognition, and the 3' end, to which the tRNAs corresponding amino acid is attached (by aminoacyl-tRNA synthetases). tRNAs cope with the degeneracy of the genetic code in two manners: having more than one tRNA (with a specific anti-codon) for a particular amino acid; and 'wobble' base-pairing, i.e. permitting non-standard base-pairing at the 3rd anti-codon position. Lineage: Bacteria; Pseudomonadati; Candidatus Omnitrophota. The record is from RNAcentral.
GUGGGUGUAGCUCAGCUGGUUAGAGCACUUGACUGUGGCUCAAGUGGUCGCGGGUUCGAAUCCCGUCAUCCACCCCA